CCUACGGGAGACAGCAGUGAGGAAUAUUGGUCAAUGGGCGCAAGCCUGAACCAGCCAAGUCGCGUGAAGGAUGACUGCUCUACGGUUUGUAAACUUCUUUUAUAAAGGAAUAAAGUUAUGCACGUGUGCCUUUUUGUAUGUACUUUAUGAAUAAGGAUCGGCUAACUCCGUGCCAGCAGCCGCGGUAAUACGGAGGAUCCGAGCGUUAUCCGGAUUUAUUGGGUUUAAAGGGAGCGUAGAUGGGUUGUUAAGUCAGUUGUGAAAGUUUGCGGCUCAACCGUAAAAUUGCAAUUGAUACUGGCAGUCUUGAGUACAGUAGAGGUAGGCGGAAUUCGUGGUGUAGCGGUGAAAUGCGUAGAUAUCACGAAGAACGCCGAUUGCGAAGGCAGCUUACUGGACUGCAACUGACACUGAGGCUCGAAAGUGUGGGUAUCAAACAGGAUUAGAUACCCCAGUAGUC
This 460-nucleotide ribosomal RNA is filed under the name uncultured bacterium. Its description in RNAcentral is "partial 16S ribosomal RNA". It matches the Rfam family "Bacterial small subunit ribosomal RNA", at positions 338 to 795 of the family's 1533-position model. The record is from RNAcentral.